This 749-nucleotide long non-coding RNA is filed under the name Laticauda laticaudata (blue-ringed sea krait). RNAcentral describes it as "lncRNA (ENSLLTG00000000373.1)". The record is from RNAcentral. Lineage: Eukaryota; Metazoa; Chordata; Lepidosauria; Squamata; Elapidae.
UUGUGUUGUUUAAUGUGCCAUAACAUUAUUGAUCCUCAAUCAUCUCAAAUCUUAUCUCUAAAGUACCUGAAGUACCAAAGAAACCUGUCCCUGAAGAAAAGGUUCCUGUGCCCAAAAGGAAAGAAGCUCCAUCAGCUAAAGUGCCCAAGAAACCGGUACCUGAAGAGGAAGUGCGUGUUGCUGUCCCUAAACAAGUAGAAGCACCUCCUGAUGAAGUGCCUGAGAUCGUCGAGGAAGAAGAAAUUGAAGCUGAGGUACCUCUACCAGCUAAAGUGCCAGAGGUGCCAAAGAAAGUUGUAGCAGCAAAGAAGAUUCCUGAACCUGUUCCCAAAAAAGUGGAGCCACCACCACCACCUGUUGCAAAAGUGCCUGAAGUUCCCAAACCAGUCCCAGAAGAGGAGGUGCCCGUUCCCAAAAAAGUGCCAGCUCCACCAACCAAAGUGCCUGAAGUUCCUAAACCUGUCCUGGAAGAGGAAGUACCUGUUCCCAAAAAGGUGCCACCUCCACCAGCCAAAGUGCCUGAAGUUCCCAAACCAGUCCCAGAAGAAAAAGUGCCUGUUCCCAAAAAAGUGCCACCUCCAAAAGCUAAAGUGCCUGAAGUUCCUAAACCUGUCCAGGAAGAGGAAGUACCUGUUCCCAAAAAGGUGACACCUCCACCAGCCAAAGUGCCUGAAGUUCCCAAACCAGUCCCAGAAGAAAAAGUGCCUGUUCCCAAAAAAGUGCCACCUCCAAAAGCUAAAGUUUUGUGA